This 779-nucleotide ribosomal RNA is filed under the name uncultured organism. RNAcentral describes it as "bacterial SSU rRNA". It matches the Rfam family "Bacterial small subunit ribosomal RNA", at positions 48 to 822 of the family's 1533-position model. The record is from RNAcentral.
CUAAUACAUGCAAGUCGAACGGUAAGUUAGUUGCUUGCAACUAACACGAGUGGCGCACGGGUGAGUAACGCGUACGCGACCUGCCCUCAAGAGGGAAAUAGCCCUGGGAAACCGGGAUUAAUGUCCCAUGUGAUUGUAUUUCUAAGGGAUAUAAUUAAAGGAGCGAUCCGCUUGAGGAUGGGCGUGCGUGCUAUUAGCUAGUUGGUGAGGUAAUGGCUCACCAAGGCGACGAUAGCUAGGGGGCGUGAGAGCGUGACCCCCCACACGGGUACUGAGACACGGACCCGACUCCUACGGGAGGCAGCAGUAAGGAAUAUUGGACAAUGGGGGCAACCCUGAUCCAGCCAUCCCGCGUGCAGGAAGACGGCCCUAUGGGUUGUAAACCGCUUUUAUUAGGGAAGAAUAGCAUCAAUGAAUUGGUGUAUGACGGUACCUAAAGAAUAAGCACCGGCUAACUCCGUGCCAGCAGCCGCGGUAAUACGGAGGGUGCAAGCGUUAUCCGGAAUCACUGGGUUUAAAGGGUGCGUAGGUGGAAUAAUAAGUCAGGCGUGAAAGGUUACAGCUUAACUGUAGACUUGCGUUUGAUACUGUUAUUCUUGAAUUAAGAUGAGGUUGGCAGAAUGCGACAUGUAGCGGUGAAAUGCAUAGAUAUGUCGUAGAAUACCGAUUGCGAAGGCAGCCAACCGGACUUAAAUUGACACUGAGGCACCGAAAGCGUGGGGAGCGAACCAGGAUUAGAUACCCUGGUAGUCCACGCCCUAAACGAUGUUCACUCGAUG